Non-coding RNA from Cinara cedri, 618 nucleotides. The record is from the annotation of a GenBank genome assembly. Lineage: Eukaryota; Metazoa; Arthropoda; Insecta; Hemiptera; Aphididae.
GGAACGUCGAACGCAUAUAAACAACGACUUUCGCGAAAAACGAUUAUCGCUCUCGGGACCGCUGCAGAUUUUCGUGUAUUAUUAUUUCAAAAAAAAAAAAAAAACCACGCGGUCGACGAUCGAUAACUGCAUUACAACAACAACAAAAAAAAAAAAAAACCGCUUAUUUACUUCCCGAGAAACAACAACAAAACCGAACGUUAUAGAAAAAAAAAAAGUUAAAAAAAAAAGUGCCGGCGCCGCCUCGGGUUCGUCGCGUGUGCGUCGCGCGGCACAACCUGUUCGCCGGUUAAUUAUUAUAAUACGAUCGGAGGAAAUGUGUUGGAAAAAAAAAAGUAAAAAAAAAAAAAAGACAUCGCGUCGUCGCCGCGCGUACAUACAUAAUAAUAACGAUAAUAAUAAUAUUGUGUGUGUGUGUGUGUGUGUGAGUUGGGUGUAAUGAUAUUAUGUACGAUUGAAAAAAAAAAUGUAAAAAAAAAAACUGAAAAAAGUUAUGAAUGAAGAGCUACGCUCGCGCGUACAUACACACGCGUAUACACACACACACACACACACACACACACAAUAAUAUGUUGGCAAAUAAACGCGUGCGAACGCUGCGCACACACGUACACCCAC